Halomicrobium mukohataei DSM 12286 is the source of this 30-nucleotide non-coding RNA. Lineage: Archaea; Methanobacteriati; Methanobacteriota; Halobacteria; Halobacteriales; Haloarculaceae. The record is from Rfam.
GUUUCAGACGGACUCUUGUGGGAUUGAAGC